RNAcentral lists this unclassified non-coding RNA (329 nucleotides) under soil metagenome. RNAcentral describes it as "partial contains 5.8S ribosomal RNA, internal transcribed spacer 2, and large subunit ribosomal RNA". The stretch from base 1 to 120 matches the Rfam family "5.8S ribosomal RNA", at positions 35 to 154 of the family's 154-position model. The record is from RNAcentral.
GAUGAAGAACGUAGCGAAAUGCGAUAAGUAAUGUGAAUUGCAGAAUUCAGUGAAUCAUCGAAUCUUUGAACGCACAUUGCGCCCCCUGGUAUUCCGGGGGGCAUGCCUGUCCGAGCGUCAUUACAACCCUCAAGCUCAGCUUGGUAUUGGGCCCCGCCGCUCCGGCGGGCCCUAAAGUCAGUGGCGGUGCCGUCCGGCUCCGAGCGUAGUAAUUCUUCUCGCUCUGGAGGUCCGGUCGUGUGCUCGCCAGCAACCCCCAAUUUUUUUCAGGUUGACCUCGGAUCAGGUAGGGAUACCCGCUGAACUUAGGCAUAUCAAUAAGCGGAGGA